This 253-nucleotide ribosomal RNA is filed under the name uncultured bacterium. RNAcentral describes it as "partial 16S ribosomal RNA". It matches the Rfam family "Bacterial small subunit ribosomal RNA", at positions 524 to 776 of the family's 1533-position model. The record is from RNAcentral.
UACGUAGGGGGCAAGCGUUGUCCGGAUUUAUUGGGCGUAAAGAGCGUGUAGGCGGCUUCACAGGUCCGCUGUGAAAACUCGAGGCUCAACCUCGAGAUGUCGGUGGAAACCGUGUGGCUAGAGUCCGGAAGAGGAGAGUGGAAUUCCCGGUGUAGUGGUGAAAUGCGUAGAGAUCGGGAGGAACACCUGUGGCGAAGGCGGCCCCCUGGGCCGGCCCUGACACUGAGACGCGAAGGCGUGGGGAGCGAACGGG